This 253-nucleotide ribosomal RNA is filed under the name uncultured bacterium. Its description in RNAcentral is "partial 16S ribosomal RNA". It matches the Rfam family "Bacterial small subunit ribosomal RNA", at positions 524 to 776 of the family's 1533-position model. The record is from RNAcentral.
UACAGAGGGGGCAAGCGUUGUUCGGAAUUACUGGGCGUAAAGGGCACGUAGGCGGCCUGUUAAGUCGAACGUGAAAUCCCCGGGCUCAACCCGGGAACUGCGUCCGAUACUGGCAGGCUUGAAUUCGGGAGAGGGAUGUGGAAUUCCAGGUGUAGCGGUGAAAUGCGUAGAUAUCUGGAGGAACACCGGUGGCGAAGGCGGCAUCCUGGACCGAUAUUGACGCUGAUGCGCGAAAGCCAGGGGAGCAAACGGG